Molecule: long non-coding RNA, 813 nt
Filed under: Homo sapiens (human)
Lineage: Eukaryota; Metazoa; Chordata; Mammalia; Primates; Hominidae
Description: HSALNT0348423
Source: RNAcentral
UUCCAGCUUAACAGAAUCAUUGUUGUGUCUCCUGGUGGCAGCAUUCUCCUUCUGGAACUAAGAACUCUAGGCCAGCAGAAUGUAAUGUCAUGGAAACAGGAAGCAAAAAUUUUGCUAGUAGAUCACUGGGGAUGAUGGUGAGUGGUGUCACUUCCACUUCCAUCCCUUUAAUCCUGGAGCCGUGAGUCCUGGCUAUGGGAGAAACAGUGCCAUAUAUGGGAUGCUGAUUCAGAGCAUACACAGUCUUCUGGAGAACUUUACCCCAGGUCUGCAAAGUAUUGUUACCUAGUUGGCAUUGUAAUUGUGACUUCAAAAGGCCGUUCCAUCAUUUUAUCAAUUCAGCUGCUUCAGGAUGACAGAUAACAUGGAAAGGACUCCAGCUUAUGAAAGAAAACGCAAAGAAAGAAGAGACCAUUCCACUGAUUUUGGGAACAAGACAAUAUAAUGAUCACAUCUAUGCUUUACAAAGAAAACUCUGCAUCUAUAUGAAGAAUAAAUGAUGGAGCUAGGCUGGAGAAGUACACUACUUGAAGUCAACAAGAAAGCAGCUGGUGAAAGAUGAUGAGACACUUAUUAGAGGAAGAAGCAGUGAGGAUGGAAGGGAGAGAAAUAUACACUAGAGGCACUGGAAAGUGCAUCACCCACCUUAUUGAGUCAUCAGAUAUGAUAUUCUGAAUUUCCUGGGUUAGGUAAAAAUUAAAAUGGAAAUUAUCAAUCCAGAGAUUUUGGAGAAGAUAAAAUAUUGCAGGAAGAAAAUAUUUUAAUUCAUGAUCUUGAGGAUCUCAAGGGAAAGAUGUGUCUGAUAUUAACAAA